UACAGAGGUCUCAAGCGUUGUUCGGAUUCAUUGGGCGUAAAGGGUGCGUAGGUGGCGUUGUAAGUCAGGUGUGAAAUCUCGGAGCUCAACUCCGAAACUGCACUUGAUACUGCAAUGCUCGAGUACUGGAGAGGAGAUUGGAAUUUACGGUGUAGCAGUGAAAUGCGUAGAUAUCGUAAGGAAGACCAGUGGCGAAGGCGAAUCUCUGGACAGUUACUGACACUGAGGCACGAAGGCCAGGGGAGCAAACGGG
Molecule: ribosomal RNA, 253 nt
Filed under: Verrucomicrobiota bacterium
Lineage: Bacteria; Pseudomonadati; Verrucomicrobiota
Also listed under: 2 other names
Description: partial 16S ribosomal RNA
Rfam family: Bacterial small subunit ribosomal RNA
Source: RNAcentral